CCUACGGGUGGCAGCAGUGGGGGAUAUUGCACAAUGGGGGGAACCCUGAUGCAGCGACGCCGCGUGGGUGAAGAAGCGCCUCGGCGCGUAAAGCCCUGUCAGCAGGGAAGAAAAUGACGGUACCUGAAGAAGAAGCCCCGGCUAACUACGUGCCAGCAGCGGCGGUAAUACGUAGGGGGCAAGCGUUAUCCGGAAUUACUGGGUGUAAAGGGGGCGGAGACGGGGAUGCAAGCCAGGAGUGAAAGCCGGGGGCCCAACCCCGGGACUGCUCUUGGAACUGCGUGGCUGGAGUGCAGGAGGGGCAGGCGGAAUGCCUGGUGUAGCGGUGAAAUGCGUAGAUAUCAGGAGGAACACCGGUGGCGAAGGCAGCCUGCUGGACUGCAACUGACGUUGAGGCCCGAAAGCGUGGGGAGCAAACAGGAUUAGAUACCCCAGUAGUC
This 440-nucleotide ribosomal RNA is filed under the name uncultured bacterium. Its description in RNAcentral is "partial 16S ribosomal RNA". It matches the Rfam family "Bacterial small subunit ribosomal RNA", at positions 338 to 795 of the family's 1533-position model. The record is from RNAcentral.